Molecule: transfer RNA, 73 nt
Filed under: Paramuricea clavata
Lineage: Eukaryota; Metazoa; Cnidaria; Anthozoa; Malacalcyonacea; Plexauridae
Rfam family: tRNA
About the family: Transfer RNA (tRNA) molecules are approximately 80 nucleotides in length.
Source: Rfam by way of RNAcentral
GACCUUGUAGCUCAGUUGGGAGAGCAUUGGACUAGUAUCCCAAAGGUCGCGGGUUGGAUUCCCACCGUGGUCA